GCGGCGUGCUUAACACAUGCAAGUCGAACGGUGAAGGAGGAGCUUGCUCCUCCGGAUCAGUGGCGAACGGGUGAGUAACACGUGAGCAAUCUGCCCUUGACUCUGGGAUAAGCGUUGGAAACGACGUCUAAUACCGGAUACGACCACCGAUGGCAUCAUCUGGUGGUGGAAAGAACUUCGGUCAAGGAUGAGCUCGCGGCCUAUCAGGUUGUUGGUGAGGUAACGGCUCACCAAGCCUACGACGGGUAGCCGGCCUGAGAGGGUGACCGGCCACACUGGGACUGAGACACGGCCCAGACUCCUACGGGAGGCAGCAGUGGGGAAUAUUGCACAAUGGGCGCAAGCCUGAUGCAGCAACGCCGCGUGAGGGACGACGGCCUUCGGGUUGUAAACCUCUUUUAGUAGGGAAGAAGCGAAAGUGACGGUACCUGCAGAAAAAGCACCGGCUAACUACGUGCCAGCAGCCGCGGUAAUACGUAGGGUGCAAGCGUUGUCCGGAAUUAUUGGGCGUAAAGAGCUCGUAGGCGGUUUGUCGCGUCUGCUGUGAAAACUGGAGGCUCAACCUCCAGCCUGCAGUGGGUACGGGCAGACUAGAGUGCGGUAGGGGAGAUUGGAACUCCUGGUGUAGCGGUGGAAUGCGCAGAUAUCAGGAAGAACACCGAUGGCGAAGGCAGAUCUCUGGGCCGUAACUGACGCUGAGGAGCGAAAGUGUGGGGAGCGAACAGGAUUAGAUACCCUGGUAGUCCAUGCCGUAAACGUUGGGAACUAGAUGUGGGGACCAUUCCACGGUCUCCGUG
This 797-nucleotide ribosomal RNA is filed under the name uncultured Microbacteriaceae bacterium. RNAcentral describes it as "bacterial SSU rRNA". It matches the Rfam family "Bacterial small subunit ribosomal RNA", at positions 39 to 845 of the family's 1533-position model. Lineage: Bacteria; Bacillati; Actinomycetota; Actinomycetes; Micrococcales; Microbacteriaceae. The record is from RNAcentral.